UACAGAGGUCUCAAGCGUUGUUCGGAUUCAUUGGGCGUAAAGGGUGCGUAGGUGGCGCGGUAAGUCGGGUGUGAAAUUUCGGAGCUUAACUCCGAAACUGCAUUCGAUACUGCGUGCUUGAGGACUGGAGAGGAGACUGGAAUUUACGGUGUAGCAGUGAAAUGCGUAGAGAUCGUAAGGAAGACCAGUGGCGAAGGCGGGUCUCUGGACAGUUCCUGACACUGAGGCACGAAGGCCAGGGGAGCAAACGGG
Molecule: ribosomal RNA, 252 nt
Filed under: uncultured bacterium
Lineage: Bacteria
Description: partial 16S ribosomal RNA
Rfam family: Bacterial small subunit ribosomal RNA
Source: RNAcentral